UUACAACUGUGAAAACUAGUCUCCCAGGA
Molecule: non-coding RNA, 29 nt
Filed under: Mus musculus (house mouse)
Lineage: Eukaryota; Metazoa; Chordata; Mammalia; Rodentia; Muridae
Source: RNAcentral